This 442-nucleotide ribosomal RNA is filed under the name uncultured bacterium. Its description in RNAcentral is "partial 16S ribosomal RNA". It matches the Rfam family "Bacterial small subunit ribosomal RNA", at positions 338 to 795 of the family's 1533-position model. The record is from RNAcentral.
CCUACGGGUGGCAGCAGUGGGGAAUAUUGGGCAAUGGGCGCAAGCCUGACCCAGCAACGCCGCGUGAAGGAAGAAGGCUUUCGGGUUGUAAACUUCUGUCAAGAGGGAAGAGCAGAAGACGGUACCUCUUGAAUAAGCCACGGCUAACCACGGGCCAGCAGCCGCGGUAAUACGUAGGUGGCAAGCGUUGUCCGGAUUUACUGGGUGUAAAGGGCGUGCAGCCGGGAAUACAAGUCAGAUGUGAAAUCCUGCGGCUCAACCGCGGAACUGCAUUUGAAACUGUUUUUCUUGAGUACCGGAGAGGUCAUCGGAAUUCCUUGUGUAGCGGUGAAAUGCGUAGAGAUAAGGAAGAACACCAGUGGCGAAGGCGAUUGACUGGACGGCAACUGACGGUGAGGCGCGAAAGCGUGGGGAGCAAACAGGAUUAGAUACCCGGGUAGUC